Molecule: ribosomal RNA, 201 nt
Filed under: uncultured bacterium
Lineage: Bacteria
Description: partial 16S ribosomal RNA
Rfam family: Bacterial small subunit ribosomal RNA
Source: RNAcentral
GCAGGCUGCAACUCGCCUGCAUGAAGCUGGAAUUGCUAGUAAUCGCGGAUCAGCAAGCCGCGGUGAAUACGUUCCCGGGCCUUGUACACACCGCCCGUCACACCAUGAGAGUCGGGAACACCCGAAGUCCGUAGUCUAACCGCAAGGGGGGCGCGGCCGAAGGUGGGUCCGGUAAUUGGGGUGAAGUCGUAACAAGGUAGC